RNAcentral lists this ribosomal RNA (451 nucleotides) under uncultured bacterium. Its description in RNAcentral is "partial 16S ribosomal RNA". It matches the Rfam family "Bacterial small subunit ribosomal RNA", at positions 354 to 796 of the family's 1533-position model. The record is from RNAcentral.
GUGGGGAAUAUUGGACAAUGGGCGAAAGCCUGAUCCAGCCAUGCCGCGUGUGUGAAGAAGGCCUUUUGGUUGUAAAGCACUUUAAGCGAGGAGGAGGCUACCGAGAUUAAUACUCUUGGAUAGUGGACGUUACUCGCAGAAUAAGCACCGGCUAACUCUGUGCCAGCAGCCGCGGUAAUACAGAGGGAGCAAGCGUUAAUCGGAUUUACUGGGCGUAACGCGCGCGUAGGUGGCCAAUUAAGUCAAAUGUGAAAUCCCCGAGCUUAACUUGGGAAUUGCAUUCGAUACUGUUUGGCUAGAGUAUGGGAGAGGAUGGUAGAAUUCCAGAUGUAGCGGUGAAAUGCGUAGAGAUCUGGAGGAAUACCGAUGGCGAAGGCAGCCAUCUGGCCUAAUACUGACACUGAGGUGCGAAAGCAUGGGGAGCAAACAGGAUUAGAAACCCUGGUAGUCC